GAUGAACGCUGGCGGCGUGCCUAAUACAUGCAAGUCGAGCGAACAGACGAGGAGCUUGCUCCUCUGACGUUAGCGGCGGACGGGUGAGUAACACGUGGAUAACCUACCUAUAAGACUGGGAUAACUUCGGGAAACUGGAGCUAAUACCGGAUAAUAUAUUGAACCGCAUGGUUCAAUAGUGAAAGACGGUUUUGCUGUCACUUAUAGAUGGAUCCGCGCCGCAUUAGCUAGUUGGUAAGGUAACGGCUUACCAAGGCAACGAUGCGUAGCCGACCUGAGAGGGUGAUCGGCCACACUGGAACUGAGACACGGUCCAGACUCCUACGGGAGGCAGCAGUAGGGAAUCUUCCGCAAUGGGCGAAAGCCUGACGGAGCAACGCCGCGUGAGUGAUGAAGGUCUUCGGAUCGUAAAACUCUGUUAUUAGGGAAGAACAAAUGUGUAAGUAACUAUGCACGUCUUGACGGUACCUAAUCAGAAAGCCACGGCUAACUACGU
This 496-nucleotide ribosomal RNA is filed under the name uncultured bacterium. RNAcentral's name for it is "partial 16S ribosomal RNA". It matches the Rfam family "Bacterial small subunit ribosomal RNA", at positions 28 to 506 of the family's 1533-position model. The record is from RNAcentral.